RNAcentral lists this long non-coding RNA (606 nucleotides) under Helianthus annuus (common sunflower). Its description in RNAcentral is "hypothetical non coding rna". Lineage: Eukaryota; Viridiplantae; Streptophyta; Magnoliopsida; Asterales; Asteraceae. The record is from RNAcentral.
GUUGGGUUAGUGGUUAGUAAAAAGGGCGAAAGGCGUAACAAACGUUGGUUUGAAAGACUUUUUAUUUUUCAUAUUUUUAUUUUAUUUCGAUGGAUUGUUCAAACAAAGAUAUUUGAUAAACUUUGUUUGUUUGUUUGUUUGGCUUCAUCGAAAUUAUUAUUUUUUUUUAGGAAGUCAUAAGAGAACCGAAUGUUGUUACUAAAAAGUAAAAAAAAUAAAAAGGUUUAGGAGGGUAAAAAGGGUUAUUUUGGGUUAAGAAAUGAAAAGGUUUAGGCUCAAAGGGGUUAACUAGGGGGAUUUUGGGUAGGUGGUAAAAAAAAAAAGAAAAAUAAUGGUAUAGAAUGAAAAAGGGUUAGUCCUAAUGCCUCCAUCAUUUACUUACUCGGGUUUAAGUUGGUAAGGACCGGGAAUGUAUUGUUGUGGGAAGUUCUAGGGUCGUAUGAACCAAGCGGCUAUUCACACAAGAAACGAAAAAUGAGCAUUUAGUGUAAAGAUAUAUAUAUUUGUAUGCUCGUUAAAGGCUCAAAACUCACUUUUGUGGGAAAAGGGUUUUUAUGUGAUCAAACAAGUAAAAAAAUGAAAAUUUUUGAAAAAAAUUUGGGGUGA